Molecule: small RNA, 117 nt
Filed under: Mytilus galloprovincialis (Mediterranean mussel)
Lineage: Eukaryota; Metazoa; Mollusca; Bivalvia; Mytilida; Mytilidae
Source: RNAcentral
ACAUGGCAUUUUUCAUAUCAGACCCUUUAUCGGCCCUAAGGUCAUGAUAUCAGCCCAAGAGCAGUCAUGCUCGAGGGCCGAUAAAGGGUCUGAUAUGAAAAAUGACAUGUAAUUAUC